GGAAUAUUGCACAAUGGGGGAAACCCUGAUGCAGCGACGCCGCGUGAGUGAAGAAGUAAUUCGUUAUGUAUAGCUCUAUCAGCAGGGAAGAAAAUGACGGUACCUGAGUAAGAAGCCCCGGCUAACCACGUGCCAGCAGCCGCGGUAAUACGUAGGGGGCAAGCGUUAUCCGGAUUUACUGGGUGAAAAGGGAGCGUAGACGGCAGUGCAAGUCUGGAGUGAAAGGCGGGGGCUCAACCCCCGGACUGCUCUGGAAACUGUACGGCUGGAGUGCAAGAGAGGUAAGUGGAAUUCCUAGUGUAGCGGUGAAAUGCGUAGAUAUUAGGAGGAACACCAGUGGCGAAGGCGGCUUACUGGACUGUAACUGACGUUGAGGCUCGAAAGCGUGGGGAGCAAACA
Molecule: ribosomal RNA, 399 nt
Filed under: uncultured bacterium
Lineage: Bacteria
Description: bacterial SSU rRNA
Rfam family: Bacterial small subunit ribosomal RNA
Source: RNAcentral